GUCGCAGUAGUGUAGCUGGGAACACGCUGCCCCGCCAAGGCAGCGACAGGGGUUCAAGUCCCCUCUGCGACUCCA
This 75-nucleotide transfer RNA is filed under the name SAR202 cluster bacterium. RNAcentral describes it as "tRNA-Gly". It matches the Rfam family "tRNA". Rfam says of the family: Transfer RNA (tRNA) molecules are approximately 80 nucleotides in length. Their secondary structure includes four short double-helical elements and three loops (D, anti-codon, and T loops). Further hydrogen bonds mediate the characteristic L-shaped molecular structure. tRNAs have two regions of fundamental functional importance: the anti-codon, which is responsible for specific mRNA codon recognition, and the 3' end, to which the tRNAs corresponding amino acid is attached (by aminoacyl-tRNA synthetases). tRNAs cope with the degeneracy of the genetic code in two manners: having more than one tRNA (with a specific anti-codon) for a particular amino acid; and 'wobble' base-pairing, i.e. permitting non-standard base-pairing at the 3rd anti-codon position. Lineage: Bacteria; Bacillati; Chloroflexota; Dehalococcoidia. The record is from RNAcentral.